GAUGAACGCUGGCGGUAUGCUUAAAAAAUGAAAGUCGAAAGGAGGAUGCGGAGUUAGGGGAGGACGGGGGAGUAACGCGUGAGAAUCUGGCUUGGGGUUCGGGAGAACCACUGGAAACGGUGGCUAAGAAAGGAUGUGCCGAGAGGUAAAAGAGAAAUUGCCUGAAGAUGAGCUCGCGUCUGAUUAGCUAGUUGGUGAGGUAAAGGCUCACCAAGGCAGCGAUCAGUAGCUGGUCUGAGAGGAUGACCAGCCACACUGGGACUGAGACACGGCCCAGACUCCUACGGGAGGCAGCAGUGGGGAAUUUUCCGCAAUGGGCGAAAGCCUGACGGAGCAAUACCGCGUGAGGUCCUCCUUCUCUUGGGUUGUAAACCUCUUUUCUUCGGGCAGAACAAAAUGACGGUACCUAAGGACUCAGCCUCGGCUCCCUCCGUC
RNAcentral lists this ribosomal RNA (435 nucleotides) under uncultured bacterium. RNAcentral describes it as "partial 16S ribosomal RNA". It matches the Rfam family "Bacterial small subunit ribosomal RNA", at positions 28 to 507 of the family's 1533-position model. The record is from RNAcentral.